Molecule: ribosomal RNA, 410 nt
Filed under: uncultured microorganism
Description: bacterial SSU rRNA
Rfam family: Bacterial small subunit ribosomal RNA
Source: RNAcentral
CAGCCGCCGCGGUAAUACGUAGGGUGCGAGCGUUAAUCGGAUUUACUGGGCGUAAAGCGUGCGCAGGCGGCCCGUUAAGACAGGUGUGAAAUCCCUGGGCUCAACCUAGGAAUUGCGCUUGUGACUGGCGGGCUCGAGUACGGGAGAGGGGGGUGGAAUUCCUGGUGUAGCAGUGAAAUGCGUAGAGAUCAGGAGGAACACCGAUGGCGAAGGCAGCCCCCUGGGCCUGUACUGACGCUCAUGCACGAAAGCGUGGGGAGCAAACAGGAUUAGAUACCCUGGUAGUCCACGCCCUAAACGAUGGGUACUAGCCGUUUGGUGCGCGAUAGCGCUGAGUGGCGAAGCUAACGCGUGAAGUACCCCGCCUGGGGAGUACGGCCGCAAGGUUGAAACUUAAAGGAAUUGGCGGG